This 229-nucleotide ribosomal RNA is filed under the name uncultured bacterium. Its description in RNAcentral is "partial 16S ribosomal RNA". It matches the Rfam family "Bacterial small subunit ribosomal RNA", at positions 568 to 796 of the family's 1533-position model. The record is from RNAcentral.
UGCGUAGGCGGAAUGAUAAGUCAGUGGUGAAAUCCUACAGCUUAACUGUAGAACUGCCAUUGAUACUGUUGUUCUUGAGUACAUUUGAAGUGGGCGGAAUGUGUCAUGUAGCGGUGAAAUGCAUAGAGAUGACACAGAACACCGAUCGCGAAGGCAGCUCACUAAACUGUAACUGACGCUGAGGCACGAAAGCGUGGGGAUCAAACAGGAUUAAAUACCCUGGUAGUCC